UACGUAGGUGGCAAGCGUUGUCCGGAUUUACUGGGCGUAAAGAGCGCGCAGGCGGUCGUUCAAGUCGCGUGUGAAAGCCCCCGGCCCAACUGGGGAGGGUCACGCGAUACUGAUCGACUCGAAGGCAGGAGAGGGUAGUGGAAUUCCCGGUGUAGUGGUGAAAUGCGCAGAUAUCAGGAGGAACACCGGUGGCGAAGGCGGAUCUCUGGGCCAUUACUGACGCUGAGGAGCGAAAGCGUGGGGAGCGAACAGG
Molecule: ribosomal RNA, 253 nt
Filed under: uncultured bacterium
Lineage: Bacteria
Description: partial 16S ribosomal RNA
Rfam family: Bacterial small subunit ribosomal RNA
Source: RNAcentral